CCACGCCGUAAACGAUGAAUGCUAGCUGUUAGCGAUAUACUGUUAGCGGCACAGAGAAAUCGUUAAGCAUUCCACCUGGGGAGUACGCCGGCAACGGUGAAACUCAAAGGAAUUGACGGGGGCCCGCACAAGCGGAGGAACAUGUGGUUUAAUUCGAUGAUACGCGAGGAACCUUACCUGGGCUUAAAUUGCAGUGGAAUAACGUGGAAACAUGUUAGCCUUCGGGCCGCUGUGAAGGUGCUGCAUGGUUGUCGUCAGCUCGUGCCGUGAGGUGUCGGCUUAAGUGCCAUAACGAGCGCAACCCUCAUCGAUAGUUACUAACAGGUUAGGCUGAGGACUCUAUCGAGACUGCCGACGUAAGUCGUGAGGAAGGUGGGGAUGACGUCAAAUCAGCACGGCCCUUACGUCCAGGGCUACACACGUGUUACAAUGGGGGGUACAAAGGGCAGCUACCUGGCGACAGGAUGCUAAUCUCAAAAACCUCUCUCAGUUCGGAUUGGAGUCUGCAACCCGACUCCAUGAAGCUGGAUUCGCUAGUAAUCGCGCAUCAGCCACGGCGCGGUGAAUACGUUCCCGGGCCUUGUACACACCGCCCGUCAAGCCAUGGGAGCCGGGGGGACCUGAAGUAUGCAACCGUAAGGAGCGUCCUAGGGUAAAACUGGUGACUGGGGCU
This 673-nucleotide ribosomal RNA is filed under the name uncultured prokaryote. Its description in RNAcentral is "bacterial SSU rRNA". It matches the Rfam family "Bacterial small subunit ribosomal RNA", at positions 795 to 1482 of the family's 1533-position model. The record is from RNAcentral.